AUUGAACGCUGGCGGCAGGCCUAACACAUGCAAGUCGAACGGCAGCACAGAAGAGCUUGCUCUUUGGGUGGCGAGUGGCGGACGGGUGAGUAAUGUCUGGGAAACUGCCCGAUGGAGGGGGAUAACUACUGGAAACGGUGGCUAAUACCGCAUAACGUCGCGAGACCAAAGUGGGGGACCUUCGGGCCUCACACCAUCGGAUGUGCCCAGAUGGGAUUAGCUAGUAGGUGGGGUAAUGGCUCACCUAGGCGACGAUCCCUAGCUGGUCUGAGAGGAUGACCAGCCACACUGGAACUGAGACACGGUCCAGACUCCUACGGGAGGCAGCAGUGGGGAAUAUUGCACAAUGGGCGCAAGCCUGAUGCAGCCAUGCCGCGUGUAUGAAGAAGGCCUUCGGGUUGUAAAGUACUUUCAGCGGGGAGGAAGGCGGUGAGGUUAAUAACCUUGCCGAUUGACGUUACCCGCAGAAGAAGCACCGGCUAACUCCGUGCCAGCAGCCGCGGUAA
This 506-nucleotide ribosomal RNA is filed under the name uncultured bacterium. Its description in RNAcentral is "partial 16S ribosomal RNA". It matches the Rfam family "Bacterial small subunit ribosomal RNA", at positions 29 to 523 of the family's 1533-position model. The record is from RNAcentral.